GAUGAACGCUGGCGGUAUGCCUUAUACAUGCAAGUCGUACGAGAGUUUUUAACUCAAGUGGCGGACGGGUGAGUAACACGUAAGAAUUUGCCUUUAGGAGGGGGAUAACAACUGGAAACGGUUGCUAAUACCCCAUAUGCUUUCGAGUGAAAUGGUUUUUCCGCCUAAAGAGAAGCUUGCGGCUGAUUAGCUUGUUGGUGAGGUAAUAGCUCACCAAGGCGACGAUCAGUAUCUGGUUUGAGAGGACGAUCAGACACACUGGAACUGAGACACGGUCCAGACUCCUACGGGAGGCAGCAGUAGGGAAUUUUCCGCAAUGGGCGAAAGCCUGACGGAGCAAUACCGCGUGAGGGAUGACGGCCUAUGGGUUGUAAACCUCUUUUUUCAGGGA
Molecule: ribosomal RNA, 391 nt
Filed under: uncultured bacterium
Lineage: Bacteria
Description: bacterial SSU rRNA
Rfam family: Bacterial small subunit ribosomal RNA
Source: RNAcentral